Molecule: ribosomal RNA, 2900 nt
Filed under: Escherichia coli
Lineage: Bacteria; Pseudomonadati; Pseudomonadota; Gammaproteobacteria; Enterobacterales; Enterobacteriaceae
Description: 23S ribosomal RNA
Rfam family: Bacterial large subunit ribosomal RNA
Source: RNAcentral
GGUUAAGCGACUAAGCGUACACGGUGGAUGCCCUGGCAGUCAGAGGCGAUGAAGGACGUGCUAAUCUGCGAUAAGCGUCGGUAAGGUGAUAUGAACCGUUAUAACCGGCGAUUUCCGAAUGGGGAAACCCAGUGUGAUUCGUCACACUAUCAUUAACUGAAUCCAUAGGUUAAUGAGGCGAACCGGGGAACUGAAACAUCUAAGUACCCCGAGGAAAAGAAAUCAACCGAGAUUCCCCCAGUAGCGGCGAGCGAACGGGGAGGAGCCCAGAGCCUGAAUCAGUGUGUGUGUUAGUGGAAGCGUCUGGAAAGGCGCGCGAUACAGGGUGACAGCCCCGUACACAAAAAUGCACAUGCUGUGAGCUCGAUGAGUAGGGCGGGACACGUGGUAUCCUGUCUGAAUAUGGGGGACCAUCCUCCAAGGCUAAAUACUCCUGACUGACCGAUAGUGAACCAGUACCGUGAGGGAAAGGCGAAAAGAACCCCGGCGAGGGAGUGAAAAAGAACCUGAAACCGUGUACGUACAAGCAGUGGGAGCCUCUUUAUGGGGUGACUGCGUACCUUUUGUAUAAUGGGUCAGCGACUUAUAUUCUGUAGCAAGGUUAACCGAAUAGGGGAGCCGAAGGGAAACCGAGUCUUAACUGGGCGUUAAGUUGCAGGGUAUAGACCCGAAACCCGGUGAUCUAGCCAUGGGCAGGUUGAAGGUUGGGUAACACUAACUGGAGGACCGAACCGACUAAUGUUGAAAAAUUAGCGGAUGACUUGUGGCUGGGGGUGAAAGGCCAAUCAAACCGGGAGAUAGCUGGUUCUCCCCGAAAGCUAUUUAGGUAGCGCCUCGUGAAUUCAUCUCCGGGGUAGAGCACUGUUUCGGCAAGGGGGUCAUCCCGACUUACCAACCCGAUGCAAACUGCGAAUACCGGAGAAUGUUAUCACGGGAGACACACGGCGGGUGCUAACGUCCGUCGUGAAGAGGGAAACAACCCAGACCGCCAGCUAAGGUCCCAAAGUCAUGGUUAAGUGGGAAACGAUGUGGGAAGGCCCAGACAGCCAGGAUGUUGGCUUAGAAGCAGCCAUCAUUUAAAGAAAGCGUAAUAGCUCACUGGUCGAGUCGGCCUGCGCGGAAGAUGUAACGGGGCUAAACCAUGCACCGAAGCUGCGGCAGCGACACUAUGUGUUGUUGGGUAGGGGAGCGUUCUGUAAGCCUGCGAAGGUGUACUGUGAGGUAUGCUGGAGGUAUCAGAAGUGCGAAUGCUGACAUAAGUAACGAUAAAGCGGGUGAAAAGCCCGCUCGCCGGAAGACCAAGGGUUCCUGUCCAACGUUAAUCGGGGCAGGGUGAGUCGACCCCUAAGGCGAGGCCGAAAGGCGUAGUCGAUGGGAAACAGGUUAAUAUUCCUGUACUUGGUGUUACUGCGAAGGGGGACGGAGAAGGCUAUGUUGGUAGGGCGACGGUUGUCCCGGUUUAAGCGUGUAGGCUGGUUUUCCAGGCAAAUCCGGAAAAUCAAGGCUGAGGCGUGAUGACGAGGCACUACGGUGCUGAAGCAACAAAUGCCCUGCUUCCAGGAAAAGCCUCUAAGCAUCAGGUAACAUCAAAUCGUACCCCAAACCGACACAGGUGGUCAGGUAGAGAAUACCAAGGCGCUUGAGAGAACUCGGGUGAAGGAACUAGGCAAAAUGGUGCUGUAACUUCGGGAGAAGGCACGCUGAUAUGUAGGUGAAGUCCCUCGCGGAUGGAGCUGAAAUCAGUCGAAGAUACCAGCUGGCUGCAACUGUUUAUUAAAAACACAGCACUGUGCAAACACGAAAGUGGACGUAUACGGUGUGACGCCUGCCCGGUGCCGGAAGGUUAAUUGAUGGGGUUAGCGGUAACGCGAAGCUCUUGAUCGAAGCCCCGGUAAACGGCGGUACGUAACUAUAACGGUCCUAAGGUAGCGAAAUUCCUUGUCGGGUAAGUUCCGACCUGCACGAAUGGCGUAAUGAUGGCGAGGCUGUCUCCACCCGAGACUCAGUGAAAUUGAACUCGCUGUGAAGAUGCAGUGUACCCGCGGCAAGACGGAAAGACCCCGUGAACCUUUACUAUAGCUUGACACUGAACAUUGAGCCUUGAUGUGUAGGAUAGGUGGGAGGCUUUGAAGUGUGGACGCCAGUCUGCAUGGAGCCGACCUUGAAAUACCACCCUUUAAUGUUUGAUGUUCUAACGUUGGCCCCUGAUCGGGGUUGCGGACAGUGUCUGGUGGGUAGUUUGACUGGGGCGGUCUCCUCCUAAAGAGUAACGGAGGAGCACGAAGGUUGGCUAAUCCUGGUCGGACAUCAGGAGGUUAGUGCAAUGGCAUAAGCCAGCUUGACUGCGAGCGUGACGGCGCGAGCAGGUGCGAAAGCAGGUCAUAGUGAUCCGGUGGUUCUGAAUGGAAGGGCCAUCGCUCAACGGAUAAAAGGUACUCCGGGGAUAACAGGCUGAUACCGCCCAAGAGUUCAUAUCGACGGCGGUGUUUGGCACCUCGAUGUCGGCUCAUCACAUCCUGGGGCUGAAGUAGGUCCCAAGGGUAUGGCUGUUCGCCAUUUAAAGUGGUACGCGAGCUGGGUUUAGAACGUCGUGAGACAGUUCGGUCCCUAUUCUGCCGUGGGCGCUGGAGAACUGAGGGGGCUGCUCCUAGUACGAGAGGACCGGAGUGGACGCAUCACUGGUGUUCGGGUUGUCAUGCCAAUGGCACUGCCCGGUAGCUAAAUGCGGAAGAGAUAAGUGCUGAAAGCAUCUAAGCACGAAACUUGCCCCGAGAUGAGUUCUCCCUGACUCCUUGAGAGUCCUGAAGGAACGUUGAAGACGACGACGUUGAUAGGCCGGGUGUGUAAGCGCAGCGAUGCGUUGAGCUAACCGGUACUAAUGAACCGUGAGGCUUAACCUU